This 450-nucleotide ribosomal RNA is filed under the name Triticum aestivum (bread wheat). RNAcentral's name for it is "partial small subunit ribosomal RNA". Lineage: Eukaryota; Viridiplantae; Streptophyta; Magnoliopsida; Poales; Poaceae. The record is from RNAcentral.
GGAAUUUUCUGGAAUAGCAGAGGUCUUAAGGACUUGGCUAAAAGGAGGUUCCUGGCGGAGGCGUCCAUUGAGCAUCGAUUGGACUUUAUUGCCGUAUCAAAAACGGGUAGAGCCAAUUUCUCACCUCAAUUUCUCUAUACGCUGUCGGGGGGUAUGGAGUUUGACUGGCAUUGUCUUCCGCCGAGAGGAAGGUCGGGUGGAAUCUUACUCGGUGUUAGAUGUGACUCUCUCGAGGUCCGCAUUGUGGUCAUGGGGGAUUUUGCUGUUAAGUUCAGGGUACGGUCAAAAGUCGAUGGGUUCGACUGGGCUUUGAUAGCGGUGUAUGGGGUGGCGCAGGCAGAGCUCAAACCUGACUUUUUAGCUGAUCUUGUCAGAAUCUGCGGGUCUGAGCAACUCCCAAUUCUGGUUGGGGGUGAUUUUAAUAUCAUUAGAAGACGUGAUGAAAAGAAU